Molecule: long non-coding RNA, 395 nt
Organism: Chroicocephalus ridibundus (black-headed gull)
Lineage: Eukaryota; Metazoa; Chordata; Aves; Charadriiformes; Laridae
Exons: 3
Source: RefSeq, a predicted model, not a curated record
AUCUCAUCUGAAGCUUAUUGUAACUGAAGCCUGCAGCCUGUUCCCUCCAAGGCAGAUUAAGACCAGCAAGUUACCAGAAGAGUAAGCUGAAGCAUGAACAUUAUCCAUCUGCUCGCCCGUACCUGCCUGCUUACGUGCACUUGCCACGCAGUGGAAGAGGGUGACAACAUCACCAAUUUGGAAAUAACAAAAUCAUCUGAAAACAUGAAUCCACUGAAGAAUACCCCAUGCUAUCCAGACCAAGAACUUGAGGGGUGCAGUUUGGUGAACUUAAAGAAAACGAUUCCUUGGUACAAUCUCAGCAGAAAUGUCUUCCGGAAAGAUUUCAGGUAGACAAACUCCUUUUAAUUUUUCCAUCCCGCAUAGAAGCUGGAAUGAAAAAUACUUUUAUAGUU